Molecule: long non-coding RNA, 164 nt
Organism: Octopus sinensis (East Asian common octopus)
Lineage: Eukaryota; Metazoa; Mollusca; Cephalopoda; Octopoda; Octopodidae
Exons: 3
Source: RefSeq, a predicted model, not a curated record
AAGUUUAUGUGUCUAUUAUGUAUAAGGUUUGACUUUUUUUUUUGUCUUUGUAUAGAGUCUGACGAGCUGUCCACAAGGCUUCGGCUUUCAUGGAUAUGAAACCUUUGGUAACUCUAUGACCAGAAUUAAAUUUUUGUUUUAAUACUUACUGCUGUAUUCUUCAG